CCGGGAGUCACCUGGGUUCUUAUUAAAAUGCAGAUUCUGAUUCAGCAGGCGCAGGAUGGGCCUGAGACUCUGCAUUUUUCAUAAGCUCUAGUGAUACUGAG
Molecule: microRNA precursor, 101 nt
Filed under: Marmota monax (woodchuck)
Lineage: Eukaryota; Metazoa; Chordata; Mammalia; Rodentia; Sciuridae
Source: RNAcentral